RNAcentral lists this ribosomal RNA (1394 nucleotides) under Candidatus Roizmanbacteria bacterium RIFCSPLOWO2_02_FULL_37_9. RNAcentral's name for it is "partial 16S ribosomal RNA". It matches the Rfam family "Bacterial small subunit ribosomal RNA". The record is from RNAcentral. Lineage: Bacteria; Candidatus Roizmaniibacteriota.
UUAAGAGUUUGAUCCUGGCUCAGGAUGAAUGUUGGCGGCGUGCCUGAGAUAUGCAAGUCGAGCGCAUCUUGUCCCGCUUUGCGGGAUGAGGUCAGCGGCGGACGGCUGAGUAACACGUAGGAACCUUCCCUGAAAUAGAGGAUAGCCUAUCGAAAGAUGGGGUAAUACUUUAUAGUCCCCGCCUUUGGCGGGGUAAAAACCAUAACUGGUUGUUUCAAGAUGGUCCUGCGGCCCAUCAGGUAGUUGGUAGGGUAAUGGCCUACCAAGCCUAUGACGGGUAGCUGGCCUGAGAGGGUGUUCAGCCAGAGGGGUACUGAGACACGGACCCCAUUUCUACGGAAAGCAGCAAUCAGGAAUAGUCGGCAAUGGGCGAAAGCCUGACCGCGCGACGCCGCGUGCGGGAAGAAGCUCUUCGGAGUGUAAACCGCUGUGGUAGAGGAAGAAGUCCCGAUUUAAUCGGGAUUGACGGUACUCUACAAGAAAGGGGCCGCUAACUGCGUGCCAGAAGCGUCGGUAAGACGUGGGCCCCAAACGUUAUCCGGUUUUACUGGGCGUAAAAGGUCGUGUAGGCGUCCCAUCAAGUUCUGUUUUAAAUACUAUGGCUCAACCAUAGGAAAGGGCAGAAAACUGGCGGGAUUGAGUUUUCUUUAGGGAGACUGGAACUUAGGGAGGAGUAGUGAAAUGCGUUGAUACCCUAGGGAACACCAGUGGCGAAGGCGAGUCUCUGGAAGAUAACUGACGCUGAGACACGAAAGCUAGGGGAGCGAAGCAGAUUAGAGACCUGCGUAGUCCUAGCCCUAAACGAAUGCCUGCUGGCUGCAUGAUCCGCCAUCUGGCGGAUCGUGUGGCGAAGGUAACCCGUUAAGCAGGCCGCCUGGGGAGUACGGCCGCAAGGUUGAAACUCAAAGGAAUUGGCGGGGAGGCACACAACCAGUGGAACAUGUGGUUUAANNNNNNNNNNNNNNNNNNNNNNNNNNNNNNNNNNNNNNNNNNNNNNNNNNNNNGCUAGAAAUAGUGAGAAAUCCGCAAGGAUGGCGGCACAGGUACUGCAUGGCUGUCGAAAGCUCGUUCCGUGAGGAGUACCCUUAAGUGGGACAACGAGCGCAACCCCCGUCCCGUGUUACAUGUAUCACGGGAUACUGUCCCGCCUUUUGGCGGGAAGGAAGGAGGGGUAGACGUCAAGUCAGCAUGGUCCUUAUACCCUGGGCUACACACAUGUUACAAUGGGUAGCACAACGGGUUUGCUAGAUUGCAAGGUUAAGCGAAUCCCUAAAAUCUACUCUCAGUUGGGAUUGAGGUCUGCAACUCGACCUCAUGAACGCGGAAUUGGUAGUAAUCGCGGAUCAGCUAUGCCGCGGUGAAUACGUUCUUGCCUCUUGCACACACCGCCCGUC